Molecule: ribosomal RNA, 206 nt
Filed under: uncultured bacterium
Lineage: Bacteria
Description: partial 16S ribosomal RNA
Rfam family: Bacterial small subunit ribosomal RNA
Source: RNAcentral
UGCGUAGGUGGUUUCUUAAGUCAGAGGUGAAAGGCUACGGCUCAACCGUAGUAAGCCUUUGAAACUGGGAAACUUGAGUGCAGGAGAGGAGAGUGGAAUUCCUAGUGUAGCGGUGAGAUGCGUAGAUAUUAGGAGGAACACCAGUUGCGAAGGCGGCUCUCUGGACUGUAACUGACACUGAGGCACGAAAGCGUGGGGAGCAAACA